AAGUCGUAACAAGGUUUCCGUAGGUGAACCUGCGGAAGGAUCAUUACAGUGUUAGGCUUCGGCCUCAUUCACACCCCUUGUUGAACCUCUGGUUUCUUUGGCGAUGUCAUGGACUCGUCAAACUUUAACUCUGGGAAUGCGAUACUGUCCGAGUGCCAUUGAAUGAUUAAAACUUUCAACAACGGAUCUCUUGGUUCCA
RNAcentral lists this unclassified non-coding RNA (199 nucleotides) under fungal sp. RNAcentral's name for it is "partial internal transcribed spacer region". The stretch from base 1 to 46 matches the Rfam family "Eukaryotic small subunit ribosomal RNA", at positions 1786 to 1831 of the family's 1831-position model. Lineage: Eukaryota; Fungi. RNAcentral also lists the same sequence under 1 other name. The record is from RNAcentral.